UCGCUUGCAGUUUUCGGCUUACAAAGCCGGC
Molecule: small RNA, 31 nt
Filed under: Bombyx mori (domestic silkworm)
Lineage: Eukaryota; Metazoa; Arthropoda; Insecta; Lepidoptera; Bombycidae
Description: ovarian small RNA-28877
Source: RNAcentral